AAUCGCUUUGCUUUCCAGAGCUUUUGCAGACUCUUCUCCAUUUGAUUUACCUUAUGGUCUGUAUCAAAUGAGAUCUAAGUCCCUGCCUUCAGUCAGCCUUUAACUCUGGCCUUCAUCACCCGCUAAUUAUCCUUUCAAUCACACAUUUCUGUUCCUUUCUGCUAGGCAACCCCCCACACAUAGAAGAAAACCACCAUCAGCCUGCACAGAGCAAUGCCAUUAUCCUCCUUGAAGCUCAUACCCUGCCCUGUUGGCUAAUGACAAAGGGAGGCUUGGGGCUGGCUUAAAAAGCAGUUGGAGGGAAGGGAACACUGCUUGCACAGAUCUUGUCUGCAUCCAGUGGUGCAAUUCUUUGUGUCCCUCUGAAGAAAGAUGGGCGACUUCAUUUACCAAGAGGGUUGGGAGAUUGAGUCAUUCCUUUGAUCAGCUUUUAUCAUCACCAGAACCAUCCUCCAAGAAAACAAACAAACAA
This 472-nucleotide long non-coding RNA is filed under the name Coturnix japonica (Japanese quail). Its description in RNAcentral is "lncRNA (ENSCJPG00005020597.1)". The record is from RNAcentral. Lineage: Eukaryota; Metazoa; Chordata; Aves; Galliformes; Phasianidae.